AUUGAACGCUGGCGGCAGGCUUAACACAUGCAAGUCGAGCGGGGUGAUGGUGCUUGCACUAUCACUUAGCGGCGGACGGGUGAGUAAUGCUUAGGAAUCUGCCUAUUAGUGGGGGACAACAUCUCGAAAGGGAUGCUAAUACCGCAUACGUCCUACGGGAGAAAGCAGGGGAUCACUUGUGACCUUGCGCUACUAGAUGAGCCUAAGUCGGAUUAGCUAGUUGGUGGGGUAAAGGCCUACCAAGGCGGCGAUAUGUAGCGGGUCUGAGAGGAUGAUCCGCCCCACUGGGACUGAGACACGGCCCAGACUCCUGCGGGAGGCAGCAGUGGGGAAUAUUGGACAAUGGGGGGAACCCUGAUCCAGCCAUGCCGCGUGUGUGAAGAAGGCCUUAUGGUUGUAAAGCACUUUAAGCGAGGAGGAGGCUCUUUUGGUUAAUACCCAAGAUGAGUGGACGUUACUCGCAGAAUAAGCACCGGCUAACUCUGUGCCAGCCGCCGCCGUAA
RNAcentral lists this ribosomal RNA (503 nucleotides) under uncultured bacterium. Its description in RNAcentral is "partial 16S ribosomal RNA". It matches the Rfam family "Bacterial small subunit ribosomal RNA", at positions 30 to 523 of the family's 1533-position model. The record is from RNAcentral.